UGCACGAGUUCAGGAUUUCAGUCCACUUCAUAUGAGGAACUGCUGCAUUCCACUGCUGGAGUACAAAUAACAGCAAGCAAAGGUGCUGCAGCACCAGGAGGGAUUCCCCAAGUACCUGGGUUGUAAAACGCAAUGAUUUUCUGCUGCUCAGCCACCAGCCUCUGCAGCUGCUCCAUCUGCAGCCUCAGUGCUCCGUCCUGCUGCCCUGCA
This 210-nucleotide long non-coding RNA is filed under the name Gallus gallus (chicken). The record is from RNAcentral. Lineage: Eukaryota; Metazoa; Chordata; Aves; Galliformes; Phasianidae.